ACACCGGCAGCUCAAGUGGUAGCCGCUUUUAUUGGGCCUAAAGCGUCCGUAGCCGGUCUGAUAAGUCUCUGGUGAAAUCCCACAGCUUAACUGUGGGAAUUGCUGGAGAUACUAUCAUGACUCGAGGUCGGGAGAGGCUGGAGGUACUCCCAGGGUAGGGGUGAAAUCCUGUAAUCCUGGGAGGACCACCUGUGGCGAAGGCGUCCAGCUGGAACGAACCUGACGGGGAGGGACGAAAGCCAGGGGCGCGAGCCGGAUUAGAUACCCGGGUAGUCCUGGCCGUAAACGAUGUGGACUUGGUGUUGGGAUGGCUUCGAGCUGCCCCAGUGCCGAAGGGAAGCUGUUAAGUCCACCGCCUGGGAAGUACGGCCGCAAGGCUGAAACUUAAAGGAAUUGACGGGG
This 402-nucleotide ribosomal RNA is filed under the name uncultured bacterium. RNAcentral describes it as "partial 16S ribosomal RNA". It matches the Rfam family "Archaeal small subunit ribosomal RNA", at positions 473 to 873 of the family's 1478-position model. The record is from RNAcentral.